This is a non-coding RNA of Paramisgurnus dabryanus, 301 nucleotides long. The record is from RefSeq and is a predicted model, not a curated record. NCBI's taxonomy places the organism in Eukaryota, Metazoa, Chordata, Actinopteri, Cypriniformes, Cobitidae.
UAAGUACAGUAUAUGGCGUAAUGUAUAUGUAAUAUUUGUACAUAUUAAUAAACAAAUAUAAGAGUAAAAUCACGGUUUUUUUUUUGUAAAGGUGCGGUUUCAUUGAGACUGCGAGAAAAGAUCACUUGCACAAUGGAGGGGCACAUCGCCGGGGAACAAAGGGCGAAAGUCUGCUGAUUGAGAGAGACGGUGCCACAAUCUGAAACCUGCAUACUAACCUGAACAACCUGCUCCAAAUCUGCCUGGAGGGAUGGGCUAAAAAUCUAACCAGGGACCACCCCGAGACCAUUAUAGCAAGAAA